AGGGAUCAGCGUGGUCUGAAACAGACAGAGUCACACACACUGAGAGAGAGAGAAUUAUUAGCUCUGUCUAAACCUCUCUUUAAAUGUUUUUCUUGGUCACACACACACACUGGACUCUGUCAUCAGAAGUGAUGUCUGCAAUUUGUGAUUUCUGGAAAUGGAUGACAUUUAAAGGAACCAAAAUAACAGACUGAAGAAGAACCAGAACCACAGAGCAGAAUAUCAACUUUGACAUCAACUUGGACCUUUAAGCAACCACCCAAAACAAUAUAGUAUUUCAUUUUGCACAGGAAUUGUGGAGCCCCAUGCCAUGUGUCAGAAGAGAAGAAGGAGGGAGAGAGAACGAGUGGGCUUUCUGAAAUCACCUUCUCCUGUAACCUGUCAUCCGUUACACCAGAGCAGCUAGUCUCAUUCUGCUCUUAUAUUCACGUCUCUGUUUAACUUGCCUAAAGGAAUAAUUCACCAAAAAUGAAAAUUCUGUCAUAAUUUAUUCACUCUUAUGUCUUUACAAACCUGUGUGACUUUCUU
Carassius auratus (goldfish) is the source of this 528-nucleotide long non-coding RNA. RefSeq lists it as uncharacterized. NCBI's taxonomy places the organism in Eukaryota, Metazoa, Chordata, Actinopteri, Cypriniformes, Cyprinidae. The record is from RefSeq and is a predicted model, not a curated record. The transcript is spliced from 3 exons.